RNAcentral lists this ribosomal RNA (497 nucleotides) under uncultured bacterium. Its description in RNAcentral is "partial 16S ribosomal RNA". It matches the Rfam family "Bacterial small subunit ribosomal RNA", at positions 28 to 507 of the family's 1533-position model. The record is from RNAcentral.
GACGAACGCUGGCGGCGUGCCUAAUACAUGCAAGUUGAGCGAUGAAGAUUGGUGCUUGCCCCAAUUUGAAGAGCAGCGAACGGGUGAGUAACGCGUGGGGAAUCUGCCUUUGAGCGGGGGACAACAUUUGGAAACGAAUGCUAAUACCGCAUAACAACUUUAAACAUAAGUUUUAAGUUUGAAAGAUGCAAUUGCAUCACUCAAAGAUGAUCCCGCGUUGUAUUAGCUAGUUGGUGAGGUAAAGGCUCACCAAGGCGAUGAUACAUAGCCGACCUGAGAGGGUGAUCGGCCACAAUGGGACUGAGACACGGCCCAAACUCCUACGGGAGGCAGCAGUAGGGAAUCUUCGGCAAUGGACGAAAGUCUGACCGAGCAACGCCGCGUGAGUGAAGAAGGUUUUCGGAUCGUAAAACUCUGUUGGUAGAGAAGAACGUUGGUGAGAGUGGAAAGCUCAUCAAGUGACGGUAACUACCCAGAAAGGGACGGCUAACUACGUG